RNAcentral lists this ribosomal RNA (221 nucleotides) under uncultured bacterium. RNAcentral's name for it is "partial 16S ribosomal RNA". It matches the Rfam family "Bacterial small subunit ribosomal RNA", at positions 524 to 743 of the family's 1533-position model. The record is from RNAcentral.
UACGUAGGGCGCAAGCGUUGUCCGGAAUUAUUGGGCGUAAAGAGCUCGUAGGCGGUUUGUCGCGUCUGCUGUGAAAACCUAAGGCUCAACCUUGGGCUUGCAGUGGGUACGGGCAGACUAGAGUGCGGUAGGGGGUGACUGGAAUUCCUGGUGUAGCGGUGGAAUGCGCAGAUAUCAGGAGGAACACCGAUGGCGAAGGCAGGUCACUGGGCCGCAACUGA